UACGAAGGGGGCUAGCGUUGUUCGGAAUCACUGGGCGUAAAGCGCGCGUAGGCGGGUCGUUAAGUCAGGGGUGAAAUCCCGAGGCUCAACCUCGGAACUGCCUUUGAUACUGGCGACCUGGAGUCCGGGAGAGGUGAGUGGAACUCCUAGUGUAGAGGUGAAAUUCGUAGAUAUUAGGAAGAACACCAGUGGCGAAGGCGGCUCACUGGCCCGGUACUGACGCUGAUGCGCGAAAGCGUGGGGAGCAAACAGGAUUAGAAACCCCAGUAGUCC
Molecule: ribosomal RNA, 273 nt
Filed under: uncultured bacterium
Lineage: Bacteria
Description: partial 16S ribosomal RNA
Rfam family: Bacterial small subunit ribosomal RNA
Source: RNAcentral